RNAcentral lists this transfer RNA (65 nucleotides) under Ochthebius lividipennis. RNAcentral's name for it is "tRNA-Phe". Lineage: Eukaryota; Metazoa; Arthropoda; Insecta; Coleoptera; Hydraenidae. The record is from RNAcentral.
AUUUAAAUAGCUUAUAUAGAGUAUAACACUGAAGAUGUUAAGGAAAUAUCAAUUAUUUUUAAAUA